UACGUAGGCAGCGAGCGUUGUUCGGAGUUACUGGGCGUAAAGGGUGUGUAGGCGGUCCUCCAAGUUCGGUGUGAAAUCUCCCGGCUCAACCGGGAGGGUGCGCCGAAAACUGGGGGGCUAGAGUGCGGGAGGGGAGAGUGGAAUUCCUGGUGUAGCGGUGAAAUGCGUAGAUAUCAGGAGGAACACCGGUGGUGUAGACGGCUCUCUGGACCGUAACUGACGCUGAGACACGAAAGCGUGGGUAGCAAAC
This 250-nucleotide ribosomal RNA is filed under the name uncultured bacterium. Its description in RNAcentral is "partial 16S ribosomal RNA". It matches the Rfam family "Bacterial small subunit ribosomal RNA", at positions 524 to 773 of the family's 1533-position model. The record is from RNAcentral.